AAAACUUUCAACAACGGAUCUCUUGGUUCUGGCAUCGAUGAAGAACGCAGCGAAAUGCGAUAAGUAAUGUGAAUUGCAGAAUUCAGUGAAUCAUCGAAUCUUUGAACGCACAUUGCGCCCCGUGGUAUUCCGCGGGGCAUGCCUGUUCGAGCGUCAUUACAACCCUCAAGCUCUGCUUGGUAUUGGGCGUCACCCCCGGGUGCGCCUUAAAAUCAGUGGCGGUGCCGUCUGGCUUCAAGCGUAGUAAUACUUCUCGCUUUGGAGUCCGGGCGAGCGUCCUGCCAAAACCCCCAUAUUUUUUCAGGUUGACCUCGGAUCAGGUAGG
RNAcentral lists this ribosomal RNA (325 nucleotides) under Rhytismatales sp. NO366b. RNAcentral's name for it is "eukaryotic LSU rRNA". The stretch from base 3 to 156 matches the Rfam family "5.8S ribosomal RNA". The record is from RNAcentral. Lineage: Eukaryota; Fungi; Ascomycota; Leotiomycetes; Rhytismatales. RNAcentral also lists the same sequence under 2 other names.